UGAUAGAAUUAUGGGGGAAAAAACCAUAUAAAGUACUCAAAGAAAGAACUUUGAGAUUGAACACCAAAUAUAUGUACCGAUAACAUCAAAGUAAUAAAUAAAUCGUGUGGAUCUGAUUGGCAAAAAAACAUAUGAUACAGUAAAAAGAAAGAACUUUGACAGUGAACACCAGAUAUACACACAAAUAAAAGAGGGCAGAUGUGAGUAUAAUUACCAAUGAGAAUAAGACGUUUGUCAGGCUUGGAGGAACACCGCAUGCGGCGGAGGAGCUCCGACAUGAGGCUCUCCGACGGAACAUCUUCUAAGUUCACGGAUGUCGACAUUGUUUCAAUGGAGGCUUUGGAGUUUUGGGCGUUAGGAUUUCGGAACUUCCAAACGCUUCAAAUUUCAAUGGAGGCUUUGGAGUUUUGGGUGUUGGGAUUCGGAACUUCCAACGCUUCAAACUGAAGCAAGAUUUUACACACAGCAAUGACGCUACGUGAGGUUUACUGUUAUAAUGACUAUUAUAUCCUUGAAUCACUGUUUAAUUACACAUUCUUCCCUCCCCAAUAUAAAUAUUUUGAAAAAGAAAAUCUCUAUAUUUUGCUAAAAGA
RNAcentral lists this long non-coding RNA (593 nucleotides) under Nicotiana benthamiana. RNAcentral's name for it is "long non-coding RNA (NBEN_LNC042101)". Lineage: Eukaryota; Viridiplantae; Streptophyta; Magnoliopsida; Solanales; Solanaceae. The record is from RNAcentral.